Long non-coding RNA from Neofelis nebulosa (Clouded leopard), 650 nucleotides. RefSeq lists it as uncharacterized. The record is from RefSeq and is a predicted model, not a curated record. Lineage: Eukaryota; Metazoa; Chordata; Mammalia; Carnivora; Felidae. The transcript is spliced from 3 exons.
ACAUUCUGGCAGGAAGGUGGAGGAAGUCAGGCUUCAAUGACUCAGCGAGCCCAGAUGCUUACACCUCUGCCAGAUUUGUGUCACACUGCCUGCCACUUAUCAGACUCAGAAUAAUGAAAACCCUCUUGUUGGCAGGCGUAGUAGUUACGAGAGAACAGGAAUGUGCAUGGAGAUCUAGCCAUGGGAAUGCAAAGCCGCUCGUUUACCACGGGCUGGAAUCCGUUCUGAGUGGGCAAGGUGGGCGGUCCUCCAAGCACAGAAAUGAUCUCCAGACCCUCCCGGACACGUAAGAAAUGCCACUUCUGUGACCCCGGAGUUUCCUUCUCCUGCAUCCACGCUUUUUCUAGGUGUGCCUUUCAGUAGAGUUUGUGACUGUCACCCUCAAGCUCACAACGGCCUCCCAGAUGAAAGGCGGAACCCGGCCUGCCUCUCGGUGUCCUCCGGGGCUCACCCUGGCGCUCAGGAGAUUGAGACCCCUGUUCUAGGCCAGCUGCUUCCCAGGUGCCGUCAUUCAUUCCGAGGGUCCCCCCCACCAACGCUGGCCAGGGCAGCUGGAGCGCAGGGCACUCCGUGCGCCCUCUUCUCAUCCAGGCGGGUCUGGCCGGUGUGGACGCCCGCCCAGGACUCCGUCCGAGCCCAGCGGCUCUGGG